RNAcentral lists this ribosomal RNA (406 nucleotides) under uncultured bacterium. RNAcentral describes it as "partial 16S ribosomal RNA". It matches the Rfam family "Bacterial small subunit ribosomal RNA", at positions 30 to 526 of the family's 1533-position model. The record is from RNAcentral.
AUUGAACGCUGGCGGCAGGCCUAACACAUGCAAGUCGAACGAGUGGCGGACGGGUGAGUAAUGUCUGGGAAACUGCCUGAUGGAGGGGGAUAACUACUGGAAACGGUAGCUAAUACCGCAUACCAUCAGAUGUGCCCAGAUGGGAUUAUCUAGUUGGCGGGGUAACGGCACACCACGACGACGAGCACUAGCUGGUCUGAGAGGAUGACCAGCAACACUGGACCUGAGACCCGGUCCAGACUCCUACGGGAGGCAGCAGUGGGGAAUAUUGCACAAUGGGCGCAAGCCUGAGGCAGCCAUGCCGCGUGUAUGAAGCAGGCCUUCGGGUUGUAAAGUACUUUCAGCGGGGAGGCGUUACCCGCAGAAGAAGCACCGGCUAACUCCGUGCCAGCCGCCGCGGUAAUAC